Long non-coding RNA from Antechinus flavipes (yellow-footed antechinus), 2133 nucleotides. RefSeq lists it as uncharacterized. Lineage: Eukaryota; Metazoa; Chordata; Mammalia; Dasyuromorphia; Dasyuridae. The record is from RefSeq and is a predicted model, not a curated record. The transcript has 2 exons.
UGAGGGAAAGGGCACCAUUUUAUAGAAAUAUGAUGGAGUUGAGAACAUGUGGUAUGAGGAAUCCAAAGAUAUGUAUAGAGUGAUUCCAGCACCUCAUGGCCCCAUCCUUUUGAGACUGAGAGGUGUCAUCCUAAUGCAUAAAAUGAGGCUAAGAAUACUUGUAAGACUUGAACAAAGUUAUGCAAGUGAAAAGACUUCUUGAGAUCUUGUAAAGGGCUAUAAAAAUGUAUUAAAAUCAUCACAGAUGUAUGACUGAAGGGACCUUAGAGUUCAAGUAAUUCAAGAUGUGAAUACAAAGGCCAAGAGAGGGUAAAAGAAGUAUACAAGUUGAUCAAACAGAUACUAAGAGGCUGAGCCACAAUUGGAAUCUAGAUUCUCUGACUCCAAAUCAAUCUUUUUUCCAAGGAAUCAUGAUCUUGCAAAAUACCAAAAAACUACUCUUCUGAAGAAGACAGAGCUGGUCUAUGGAAGUUAUUUCCAAAUCUCUUGGAUUCUAGGGCUGAAGUGAGAUCACUGCAAGCUGCAAAACCAAACCAUGACCUGGCUUGGGAGCGAACAUGCUAAGCAAUCCUGUCCCCAUGGUUUUCAAAAGUGAGGCAAACUUUUCCAAAGCCAAACCUAAAACCUUCCCACAUCUGUCUGCCCAUGACAGCCUGCGCGAGGUACAGAUUCUAGGAAGAAAUGGUAGGUGGCCCUCGGCCACAAGCACAGGGCAUUGUGUUACAGUAAUGGCAAUUCGCCCCAUUUGGGAGCCAAUGGAAGCCUCCGCCCAUAGUUUCAUCACAUUAAAAGACUAUAUUAUUAUUCCUUGGAAUUAACAUCUAUCAAAGUACAACAUGCUCCUUGAUGGGAAAGCUUAUAUAAAACAAUCAGUUUUCUGAAUUUUUUAGCUCCCAUUUAGUGGGGGAAGGAGGAAACAGAGAAUUGGGGGGGGGAGGGGAGAAAAGAAGGGAUGGGGGAUUCUUGAACCCAGGUCAGUAGCUAUGGGAGAGACUGCUUAUAGCCAAAUCUAUUCAUUUCUCAUUCAGAUAUCUUUUUUAAGGUUUAAAAAGCACUCUGAACACAUUUGAUCCUCACAAUGGUUAUGUGAAGGAAGAUGUAUAAGCAUUACAAAAGAAUUUCAGGAAUUUAAACAACUUGGUUCAAGGGGACAUAUUAGGGACAACUCAGUCUACUUUCGACUACAUCAGUCUAAAACCCAGAAGUCUAACCAAAACCUACCAGCUGGGGGACAAAGUUACACAACCACAAGAGAAAAAUGUUGUUCAAUAGAUUAUCAGUGAACAAAAUCUGAGUUUCCUUGAUCGAUCCACAGAGCUCAGAAGUCCCAAAUCCUAAGGUAUGUUUUCCAAAGUCAGUAAAUAGAUGGGCUUGGCUUGUCUGGAGAGUGAGAGAGAUGAUGCUGGUAAGGUUUAUGUGUGGAGGAUUUUAAGUGACAAGCUAAGGCAUUUGUUUUCUGUCCUAGAGCCCAUGACUACAAGGUUUUUGUUUUUGUUUUUUGUUUUUAUUUUUAGCAAAGAUAACUGGAGUGGAAAAGGCCAAAAAGAAGGGAAGGACACCAUUUUCAAGGCCAUAACAGUUGGUCAGGCAUAAGUUGAUAAAGAACUGAAUUACUUCUCCACUAAAAAUGACUUCUUCCUUGGGUGAGGCUGUUAAAUUCAACUCUGUCUCUUACUAUCAGAUUGCAUAAAGGAACCUAAAUAAUACCUAGAAAAAAGGAAGGAAAUCAUGAAUAGAUAAUGAUAGCAAUUGGGAAACCAACUUUGGGGUUUCUAAAGAAUUCCAGCAAUUAAAAAAAAUUUUAAUUUAAUUAAUAUUAAAAUCGGCUGGAGAAUAAGUAUUACUUGUCUAGUAAACAUUAGUUAUAUUAAUACUAAUUUGUAUCUAAAAGUACAUCAUGUAGAAAAUACUAACAAAAAAUAUGGAAUUAAUGAUAAUAGCUAUAAUGGAAGGAGGAAACCUUAGUGUCUUACAAAUAGAAGAGGGUAUAGUAGUUGGAGAGGAACAAAAGAAGGAAUCAAUAAUGUGUUCUGCCAUUAUCCUGGUGAGGAGUAUGAGCCAUAGAGGCAUUCUAUCAACACUGUGUAAAAAUUCAUAUGAACGGUAAUACUAAGUCAGGAAAAAAAACAAUAG